UACGUAGGGGGCGAGCGUUGUCCGGAUUUAUUGGGCGUAAAGAGCUCGUAGGCGGCUUGGCAAGUCGGGUGUGAAACCUCCAGCUCAACCUGGAGACGCCACUCGAUACUGCCAUGGCUAGAGUCCGGUAGGGGACCACGGAAUUCCUGGUGUAGCGGUGAAAUGCGCAGAUAAUCAGGAGGAACACCGGUGGCGAAGGCGGUGGUCUGGGCCGGCACUGACGCUGGAGGAGCGAAAGCGUGGGUAGCAAACAGG
This 255-nucleotide ribosomal RNA is filed under the name uncultured bacterium. Its description in RNAcentral is "partial 16S ribosomal RNA". It matches the Rfam family "Bacterial small subunit ribosomal RNA", at positions 524 to 776 of the family's 1533-position model. The record is from RNAcentral.